RNAcentral lists this ribosomal RNA (643 nucleotides) under Rathayibacter sp. AY1C4. RNAcentral's name for it is "bacterial SSU rRNA". It matches the Rfam family "Bacterial small subunit ribosomal RNA", at positions 896 to 1533 of the family's 1533-position model. The record is from RNAcentral. Lineage: Bacteria; Bacillati; Actinomycetota; Actinomycetes; Micrococcales; Microbacteriaceae.
AAAACUCAAAGGAAUUGACGGGGGCCCGCACAAGCGGCGGAGCAUGCGGAUUAAUUCGAUGCAACGCGAAGAACCUUACCAAGGCUUGACAUAUACCGGGAACUUCCAGAAAUGGUUGCCCCGCAAGGUCGGUAUACAGGUGGUGCAUGGUUGUCGUCAGCUCGUGUCGUGAGAUGUUGGGUUAAGUCCCGCAACGAGCGCAACCCUCGUUCUAUGUUGCCAGCACGUCAUGGUGGGAACUCAUAGGAGACUGCCGGGGUCAACUCGGAGGAAGGUGGGGAUGACGUCAAAUCAUCAUGCCCCUUAUGUCUUGGGCUUCACGCAUGCUACAAUGGCCGGUACAAAGGGCUGCGAUACCGUAAGGUGGAGCGAAUCCCAAAAAGCCGGUCUCAGUUCGGAUUGAGGUCUGCAACUCGACCUCAUGAAGUCGGAGUCGCUAGUAAUCGCAGAUCAGCAACGCUGCGGUGAAUACGUUCCCGGGCCUUGUACACACCGCCCGUCAAGUCAUGAAAGUCGGUAACACCCGAAGCCAGUGGCCUAACCGCAAGGAGGGAGCUGUCGAAGGUGGGAUCGGUGAUUAGGACUAAGUCGUAACAAGGUAGCCGUACCGGAAGGUGCGGCUGGAUCACCUCCUUUCUAAGGA